GACGAACGCUGGCGGCGUGCCUAAUACAUGCAAGUAGAACGCACAGUUUAUACCGUAGCUUGCUACACCAUAGACUGCGAGUUGCGAACGGGUGAGUAACGCGUAGGUAACCUGCCUGGUAGCGGGGGAUAACUAUUGGAAACGAUAGCUAAUACCGCAUAAUAUUAAUUAUUGCAUGAUAAUUAAUUGAAAGGUGCAAUUGCACCACUACCAGAUGGACCUGCGUUGUAUUAGCUAGUAGGUGAGGUAACGGCUCACCUAGGCGACGAUACAUAGCCGACCUGAGAGGGUGAUCGGCCACACUGGGACUGAGACACGGCCCAGACUCCUACGGGAGGCAGCAGUAGGGAAUCUUCGGCAAUGGACGAAAGUCUGACCGAGCAACGCCGCGUGAGUGAAGAAGGGUUUCGGAUCGUAAAGCUCUGUUGUAAGAGAAGAACGGGUGUGAGAGUGGAAAGUUCACACUGUGACGGUAUCUUACCAGAAAGGGACGGCUAACUACGUG
RNAcentral lists this ribosomal RNA (505 nucleotides) under uncultured bacterium. Its description in RNAcentral is "partial 16S ribosomal RNA". It matches the Rfam family "Bacterial small subunit ribosomal RNA", at positions 28 to 507 of the family's 1533-position model. The record is from RNAcentral.